GAGUUUGAUCCUGGCUCAGAACGAACGCUGGCGGCAGGCCUAACACAUGCAAGUCGAACGCCCCGCAAGGGGAGUGGCAGACGGGUGAGUAACGCGUGGGAACCUACCUUGUGGUACGGAACAACCAAGGGAAACUUUGGCUAAUACCGUAUGAGCCCGAGAGGGGAAAGAUUUAUCGCCAUAGGAUGGGCCCGCGUCGGAUUAGCUAGUUGGUGAGGUUAAUGGCUCACCAAGGCGACGAUCCGUAGCUGGUCUGAGAGGAUGACCAGCCACACUGGGACUGAGACACGGCCCAGACUCCUACGGGAGGCAGCAGUGGGGAAUAUUGGACAAUGGGCGCAAGCCUGAUCCAGCCAUGCCGCGUGUGUGAUGAAGGCCUUAGGGUUGUAAAGCGCUUUCGCCGAUGAAGAUAAUGACGGUAGUCGGAGAAGAAGCCCCGGCUAACUUCGUGCCAGCAGCCGCGGUAAC
This 468-nucleotide ribosomal RNA is filed under the name uncultured Alphaproteobacteria bacterium. RNAcentral's name for it is "bacterial SSU rRNA". It matches the Rfam family "Bacterial small subunit ribosomal RNA", at positions 9 to 524 of the family's 1533-position model. Lineage: Bacteria; Pseudomonadati; Pseudomonadota; Alphaproteobacteria. The record is from RNAcentral.